UGGGGAAUAUUGCACAAUGGGCGCAAGCCUGAUGCAGCAACGCCGCGUGCGGGAUGACGGCCUUCGGGUUGUAAACCGCUUUUAGUAAGGAAGAAGCCUUUCGGGGUGACGGUACUUGCAGAAAAAGGACCGGCUAACUACGUG
RNAcentral lists this ribosomal RNA (144 nucleotides) under uncultured bacterium. RNAcentral describes it as "partial 16S rRNA". It matches the Rfam family "Bacterial small subunit ribosomal RNA", at positions 355 to 507 of the family's 1533-position model. The record is from RNAcentral.